GGUAGGAUGGCCGAGCGUUCAAGGCGGUGGGUUGUAGCCCCGAAGACAGAGGUUUGAGUCCUCUUCCUAUCA
This 72-nucleotide transfer RNA is filed under the name Yasuhikotakia morleti (skunk botia). RNAcentral describes it as "tRNA-Tyr". It matches the Rfam family "tRNA". Rfam says of the family: Transfer RNA (tRNA) molecules are approximately 80 nucleotides in length. Their secondary structure includes four short double-helical elements and three loops (D, anti-codon, and T loops). Further hydrogen bonds mediate the characteristic L-shaped molecular structure. tRNAs have two regions of fundamental functional importance: the anti-codon, which is responsible for specific mRNA codon recognition, and the 3' end, to which the tRNAs corresponding amino acid is attached (by aminoacyl-tRNA synthetases). tRNAs cope with the degeneracy of the genetic code in two manners: having more than one tRNA (with a specific anti-codon) for a particular amino acid; and 'wobble' base-pairing, i.e. permitting non-standard base-pairing at the 3rd anti-codon position. The record is from RNAcentral. Lineage: Eukaryota; Metazoa; Chordata; Actinopteri; Cypriniformes; Botiidae.